UAAAAAGUAUGUAUCAAUUGAAAUCAGCUGGAGACGCCAUUAACACCAUGAUGAGUACAUCGAAGAUAAUUUGUCUUAGAACCAAUUCUUCAUUUUCAUUCUUACUAUAAAGAAAAUUAGAUAUCCUUAACAAUACUCUAGAAGCUGAAGGCUUAGAAGAGCCUGUUAGAGAUAAUAGCCCAAAUACAUCUGCCAGCUAUCAAAAUACUCUUGAAGAUGAGUGUUUAGAGGAAUCGGAAAGAGAUGUAAACCAUAUUAUAUCUGCCAGCUAUCAAAAUACUCUUGAAGAUGAGUGUUUAGAGGAAUCAGAAGGAGAUGUAAACCAUGUAAGAUAUGGUCUUUCAACAAAUAUAAAAAUGUGUCAAUUACUUGGUGCCUCUUUGGACCCAAAUAAUUGUAUCCUUAUUUUCUUCAUCCGAGCAAUUAUAAGGAAAAAGUUUAUGUUAUUUUGGACGUUUGCCAUAUGAUGAAACUCCUUAGAAAUCUACUCGGCGAUAAAAAAUUUUUAAUCAAUAAUGGAGUAGUAAUAAAUUGGAAAUAUAUAGCAAACCUUCAUGAUUUACAGGAUAAGGAAGGACUAAGGGCUGCAAAUAAAAUGGGCCGUUCUCAUAUUGAUUAUCAUAAGCAGAAAAUGAAAGUUAAACUUGCCAUUCAAGUUUUUAGUAGCUCAAUACCAAAAGGUAUUCUUUUAGCACAUGAGCUAAAAAUUGAUGGGUUUGAAAACUGUGAAGGCACAGUAGACUUUAUUCAAAUGAUUGAUUGUACUCGAAACAUGUGCUAAAGGGUUUAAGGCCCCACUAUCUAAAAGAUCUCUUCCAUAUUAUGAAGAUUAUUUUGAAAAAUGUAUCAAUACUCUUAAAGCUUUAAAGUUUGAAGAUGGGUUAAUAGCAUCAAUGAAGAAUAUUCUGGAUAUUAAGAAUGAAUUAUUAUUGGGACCUAAUCCCAAACUCAAUUAUGUUUUAACCUACAAAACAUCACAAGAUCAUCUUGAACUAUUUUUUAGUUGUUUACGCAGCAGAGGAGGUUUUAACAAUAAUCCUUCUACUUAUCAAUUACGAUCGGCCAUAAGAGAUGUCUUGGUAGCAAAACUAGAAGUGAUAACAACAGGUAAUUGUAUUCCAAUCGAUAAUAUUAAUCUAAUUUGUGGAGAUUUUCAGAAAAAUGCUGACAAUAACAACCAUAUUAAUCUUUAUGAAAAUUCGUUAACAUUUGUUCCUAAUAUUGCGACAUUAUCACUCUACCUUGAAAAUGUAUCAACCUAUAUAGCAGGGUAUAUAAUACACAUAAUAUCUGAAAAAAAAGUAACAUGUUAUACAUGCAUAACAGGUAUGAUGGAUUAUCAAAAUCAUAAAAAUAGUGAUGCUUAUAAUUUGAUAAAAAUAAAAAACAAUCAGGUGUUAAUAAUUCCUUCUAAGAGUGUUUCAAUAUUAUGCCAAAUUUCUGAAAGUGCAUUCCAUGUUUUUGAAAAAUCAUUGCUAAUAAAUAAAAAAUUUAUUUUCAAAAGGAUUGUAUCAUUUAUUCUUUUUAAAGCACAUCAAACAAAUAUUUUUGAUGAACUUAUUGAUCAUAUGCUUAAUCAAGAAGCACUAUUCUCCCAUUAUCAAAUUCUAAUUACAUUAAUAAUUGAACAUUAUUUGCACAUUCUAUUUCAUCAUUAUGGUAAUAAUCUAAAUAGAAAAUCGAAUAUCAAUAUUUGUCAGAAAUUGACCAAAACAAUUUUAUUUAAUGGCCAAUGAAUAAAUUGUAUAGUGUGUCUGAAUUAAGAUUCCUUUUUUU
Molecule: RNA transcript, 1776 nt
Organism: Gordionus sp. m RMFG-2023
Lineage: Eukaryota; Metazoa; Nematomorpha; Gordioida; Chordodea; Parachordodidae
Exons: 10
Source: RefSeq, a predicted model, not a curated record